This 77-nucleotide ribosomal RNA is filed under the name Halalkalibacterium halodurans. Its description in RNAcentral is "Bacillus halodurans partial 16S ribosomal RNA". It matches the Rfam family "Bacterial small subunit ribosomal RNA", at positions 1 to 75 of the family's 1533-position model. Lineage: Bacteria; Bacillati; Bacillota; Bacilli; Caryophanales; Bacillaceae. The record is from RNAcentral.
CUUUUAUGGAGAGUUUGAUCCUGGCUCAGGACGAACGCUGGCGGCGUGCCUAAUACAUGCAAGUCGAGCGGACCAAA